RNAcentral lists this non-coding RNA (166 nucleotides) under Clostridium amylolyticum. RNAcentral describes it as "T-box sequence". It matches the Rfam family "T-box leader". Rfam says of the family: Uncharged tRNA acts as the effector for transcription antitermination of genes in the T-box leader family. T-boxes are found upstream of many aminoacyl-tRNA synthetase genes and some amino acid biosynthetic genes usually in Gram-positive bacteria. The anticodon of a specific tRNA base pairs to a specifier sequence within the T-box motif, and the NCCA acceptor tail of the tRNA base pairs to a conserved bulge in the T-box antiterminator hairpin. The record is from RNAcentral. Lineage: Bacteria; Bacillati; Bacillota; Clostridia; Eubacteriales; Clostridiaceae.
AUAUGUAUGAUGAAGAAGAAGAGUAACCUUAUUGCUUUUUAAGAGAGAUGAUGGCUGGUGAAAAUCAUUAAAGUGGUAAGAUGAAGGGAGCUUCUGAGUGCAAGGUAGUUAGAAAGAUGGGCUUUAGCCAAAAAGGGUGGAACCGCGGAUUAUUUUCGUCCCUUUG